GUGUUGAUUAAAGUGGAGCUUGAUUUGAUUAGAGUUUUGUCCGUUUAAAGUUGAAAUUAAUUUAAUUAACCAUGUAUCGCAUUCGAUUGAUGGGUCGAUUCGUUUUUCUUUUUCAUAUAUUGUUUUACAAGCAAUCAAAUUCGAUAACCCGCAAUCACAGCGAGUGGAAGAGUGUUGCGUUGUGACCUGGGAUUCCAUUUCCUGCAAUGGUAGAGUGCUACUCAGAGGUCCACACGCCAAUGAGUUGGGUUAUUUUAUGGUUUAGAGUCGAAGCAAAUAUUAUGAAAUUGUAUACACGGCAAAUAGUCAAUAUCACACCUAAAACACGCUAAUCGCUGUCCAGGAAAUCCCCGAGUAUGGAAAAAGUGACCUGUGAAGCUGGAAAGAGUGCAGUCUACUGUUCUAAUUUUAUUUUAUCCUAAUUAGUAGAAAUCUUAUCUCAGGGCUUAAUUGGCUUUGCCUGUUGGGUAAUUUCGAUUGUAUCUGUAAUGCCUCCUUUGUACUUGUACCACUUUGCACAUAUUAAAAAGUAGCCGAAAUUUAAGACCCCAAGAGCAGCAAUCACGUAAUAGUAGUAGUUUAGUCUUCCCUUGUUGAGAUCUUCUGGCAACCAAUUUGUCGUUCUGUGAACUAUUGUUAUUAAUAAACUGCUUAAAUAACUUGAACCUGCCAUGCCACAAAAAAAGAGAGACCCAGCAAUGCUUCUCAUGUUCUCAGGAAAUUGCUUGUAGUAGAAUUCAACCAUGCCAAUGGAACCGAAUGCUUCGGCUAAUCCUGUCAGUGCUAGCUGAGGAAUUAACCAUACACUGGACAUUGAUGAAAUGCCACCCCUUCUUGGCGCUGUUCCUACAGUUGGCUUGGUGAGAGCUAUAGUCCUCCUCUUCUCUUCAACCAAGGCGGAGACUAACAUUGCGAGAGCUGAUAAAAUUAUGCCAAUCCCAAUUCUUUGAAGAAUUGUGAUGCCACCUUCUUUUCCUGUUAGCCUCUGGAGAAAUGGCACAAAGAUUCGGUCGUAGAUAGGUAUAAAGAUGGUUAAACUUAGCAUCAUGAACACCCCGUAGGACGCAGCUGGGACUUUGAAAUUGCUGCUUCCAAGGCGUCUAUCGCUUUGAACUGCUUGGAAGACGGCGUAAGUUUGCUGUUGAACUAUAGCAAUAAAGAAUACAACAUCUGAUACCCAUAUGGGAAUCACUCUCAACAGGCAUUUCACUUCUUCCACUUGCUGCAGACUGCAAAGCUUCCACGGAUCAGCUGGUGAUCCGUCAGGGUUUAUUUUGUCUUCGAGAGUCCUAAUUGCUGCUUUGUCAAGGAAUCUGAAUUGAUCCGUGUAAGAAAGCUUGGCAUUGAUAGACGUGGGAGGAGUAUAAUUGAAAAGGGAGAACCAAGGUUGCUCUACUGGCUUCAACCGUCUUUUCUUGAUCGCAACUACUAUAACCUGUGCUACGCUGGUCAUUGGGCUGCCAUUAGCUUUCACUUUGACAUAGAUUUUUGAACCCGAGAAGAAAAGUAUACAAGCAAUGAGCAUCAGAAUUGCUGGAAUUGCUAAGCCUAUUGCCCAGCUAACAUUGGCUUGAACGUAAACAAUUAGAGUCAGAGAUAUCAUCAUGGCGAACGUGAACGUGAAGAAGUACCAGUUGAAGAAGCUAUUAAUACCCUUCUUUCCAGAUUCAGUUUUUGGGUUGAAUUGGUCUGCUCCAAAUGCUAAAUUACAUGGGCGGACUCCACCAGCUCCUACUACCAUGAGUCCAAAUCCUGUCAGUAGAAAUGCCAUUUGACCUGGUGUUGGCCCUUGGCACGUACUACUCUCCUUUCCACACCGGGGAGGAUGCAGUUUAGAAAUUGCAGCCGUUAAUUGAAUCACAAGCAAACCCUUCACGUGAAAUACAGGAACAAAUCAACCAGAAAUUUAGAUGAUCAAUUCACUAGAUAAAGUGAAAGUGUUAAAUUGCAAGAAAUUUUUAGUACCAGAAAGGAUGUAACUGUGGCGAAACCCAAGGUGUUAUAGCGACCAAAGUAAGUGUCACAGAGAUAGGCUCCAACCAAAGUACCAAAGUUGGUGGUGCCAUUGAAGACGUUGAUAAUGGUUGCAGCUGUGAUGCUCUUCAUGUUAAAGACAGUGGUGAGAUAUAUCAAGAGAUUUGCUAAGGUUCCAAUGGCUCCAAGCUUCUCAAAAGUUUCAUUCCCUAUGAUAAAAGGCAUAGCUUUCCACCCCCUGUAGUUAAUUUUGGGCUCUGCAUCCAGGGCAUCUUCCUGAUUGCUUUCCAUGGUUGGUUUGUGAGUUUCUUUCCCGUGAACUUCCAUGGAAUCCUUCCCUUUCUCCCCUAUCGUUUCAUCGUUUUCCAUCUGUGCCUAGUCAGUGUCCUGGGUAUAGUGG
RNAcentral lists this unclassified non-coding RNA (2374 nucleotides) under Hevea brasiliensis (rubber tree). The record is from RNAcentral. Lineage: Eukaryota; Viridiplantae; Streptophyta; Magnoliopsida; Malpighiales; Euphorbiaceae.